RNAcentral lists this non-coding RNA (676 nucleotides) under Mesobacillus campisalis. Its description in RNAcentral is "Bacillus campisalis Bacterial small subunit ribosomal RNA". It matches the Rfam family "Bacterial small subunit ribosomal RNA", at positions 1 to 660 of the family's 1533-position model. Lineage: Bacteria; Bacillati; Bacillota; Bacilli; Caryophanales; Bacillaceae. The record is from Rfam by way of RNAcentral.
UUAUUGGAGAGUUUGAUCCUGGCUCAGGACGAACGCUGGCGGCGUGCCUAAUACAUGCAAGUCGAGCGGACUUGAGGGAGCUUGCUCCCGAUGGUCAGCGGCGGACGGGUGAGUAACACGUGGGCAACCUGCCUGUAAGACUGGGAUAACUCCGGGAAACCGGGGCUAAUACCGGAUAAUUCAUUCCCUCACAUGAGGGAAUACUGAAAGACGGCUCCGGCUGUCACUUACAGAUGGGCCCGCGGCGCAUUAGCUAGUUGGUGAGGUAACGGCUCACCAAGGCCACGAUGCGUAGCCGACCUGAGAGGGUGAUCGGCCACACUGGGACUGAGACACGGCCCAGACUCCUACGGGAGGCAGCAGUAGGGAAUCUUCCGCAAUGGACGAAAGUCUGACGGAGCAACGCCGCGUGAGCGAAGAAGGCCUUCGGGUCGUAAAGCUCUGUUGUCAGGGAAGAACAAGUGCCGGAGUAACUGCCGGCACCUUGACGGUACCUGACCAGAAAGCCACGGCUAACUACGUGCCAGCAGCCGCGGUAAUACGUAGGUGGCAAGCGUUGUCCGGAAUUAUUGGGCGUAAAGCGCGCGCAGGCGGUCCUUUAAGUCUGAUGUGAAAGCCCACGGCUCAACCGUGGAGGGUCAUUGGAAACUGGGGGACUUGAGUGCAGAAGAGGAGA